Molecule: small nucleolar RNA, 129 nt
Organism: Acomys russatus (golden spiny mouse)
Lineage: Eukaryota; Metazoa; Chordata; Mammalia; Rodentia; Muridae
Product: small nucleolar RNA SNORA17
Exons: 1
Source: RefSeq, a predicted model, not a curated record
CCUGGCCCCAGAGGAGUUGCAGGUGUGGCUGCUGUGUCACGUGUGCAUCAGUAGGUGGCAGAGAGAAGGGCUAUGUCUCCACAUCGUGUUCUGACCAAUAAACAUCUGAAUGAUUAGUAGCCUAACAUU